This 269-nucleotide unclassified non-coding RNA is filed under the name Basidiomycota sp. Its description in RNAcentral is "partial contains small subunit ribosomal RNA, internal transcribed spacer 1, and 5.8S ribosomal RNA". The stretch from base 1 to 47 matches the Rfam family "Eukaryotic small subunit ribosomal RNA", at positions 1785 to 1831 of the family's 1831-position model. The record is from RNAcentral. Lineage: Eukaryota; Fungi; Basidiomycota.
AAAGUCGUAACAAGGUUUCCGUAGGUGAACCUGCGGAAGGAUCAUUAUCGAUUCAAGAGGAUGUGCUGGCUCCCUUUUGCAGGGAGCAAAUUGUGCACUCUUCAAUCUCACUCUAUUCACCUGUGCACAACUUGGUAGGCAAUGGAAGGGGAACAACACUUCCCUGGAAAUUGUCUAUUGUCUUUUUUAUACACACCUUCAAAUGUCUUGAAUGCAAUUGAACAAAUAUAAAGUUGUAACAACUUUCAACAAUGGAUCUCUUGGUUCUC